RNAcentral lists this ribosomal RNA (327 nucleotides) under uncultured Bacteroidota bacterium. RNAcentral describes it as "bacterial SSU rRNA". It matches the Rfam family "Bacterial small subunit ribosomal RNA", at positions 28 to 351 of the family's 1533-position model. The record is from RNAcentral. Lineage: Bacteria; Pseudomonadati; Bacteroidota.
GAUGAACGCUAGCGGGAGGCUUAACACAUGCAAGUCGAGGGGCAGCACUAUGUAGCAAUAUUUUGGUGGCGACCGGCGCACGGGUGAGUAACACGUAUGUAACCUACCCUGUACAGGGGGAUAACCCGGAGAAAUUCGGACUAAUACCCCAUAAAGAUAUUAAGGGGCAUCUUUUAAUAUUUAAAGUUCCGGCGGUACGGGAUGGGCAUGCGCAACAUUAGCUAGUUGGCAGGGUAACGCCUACCAAGGCUACGAUGUUUAGGGGACCUGAGAGGGUGAUCCCCCACACUGGUACUGAGACACGGACCAGACUCCUACGGGAGGCUG